Molecule: ribosomal RNA, 571 nt
Filed under: Triticum aestivum (bread wheat)
Lineage: Eukaryota; Viridiplantae; Streptophyta; Magnoliopsida; Poales; Poaceae
Description: partial small subunit ribosomal RNA
Source: RNAcentral
GGCUUGACUCCUUUCUGCUUCAAGGAACCGGGCGACUGCUGCCCCACCGUAGAGCAGUGCGAGGAGAGAUAGAUCUCCACGACUCCACUCGCCUCUUCUUUCCGUCCUCCUCUCCAUGGCUCCCCUCAAGGGGAUCGAUGCGGUGGCUCUCCCCUAGCAGUUCUGGCUCACCCUACUCUCAGCUCUCCCCGGCCACCAUCUCGGUGUGCGGUGGGCGGUGGCUGUGGUUGGGUCGCCCACAAGAGGACAUGCCCCUAAUUCACAAAAAAAAAGAGAGUACAUGCCCUUGGCCGCCAUCGGAUUUUCUCCCUCUCCUGUGCCAGAUCUGCUUCUUUCUGCAAGCUGGGUGGUGAAGAAGGGAGAGAGAGGGCUGCAGCUGUUUGUGCUGCUGCUGGUCCAACCAGCAGGUCCUUUGUUCGUUUUUUCGAUUACUUUCUCUUAACUUUUUUGGACCCUGAUUAUUUCAUGAGGUCCUUACCACCGGAUCUAAAGCAUCUUUGGAGGAUUUCUUUAUCUGCAUUAGUUUUAGCCUUUCUAUGCUAAUUUUCUCGGUGUAUGUACGGCGUGGUCC